UGGGGAAUUUUGGACAAUGGGCGAAAGCCUGAUCCAGCAAUGCCGCGUGCAGGAUGAAGGCCUUCGGGUUGUAAACUGCUUUUGUACGGAACGAAAAAGCUUCUCCUAAUACGAGAGGCCCAUGACGGUACCGUAAGAAUAAGCACCGGCUAACUACGUGCCAGCAGCCGCGGUAAUACGUAGGGUGCGAGCGUUAAUCGGAAUUACUGGGCGUAAAGCGUGCGCAGGCGGUUAUGUAAGACAGAUGUGAAAUCCCCGGGCUCAACCUGGGAACUGCAUUUGUGACUGCAUGGCUAGAGUACGGUAGAGGGGGAUGGAAUUCCGCGUGUAGCAGUGAAAUGCGUAGAUAUGCGGAGGAACACCGAUGGCGAAGGCAAUCCCCUGGACCUGUACUGACGCUCAUGCACGAAAGCGUGGGGAGCAAACAGG
RNAcentral lists this ribosomal RNA (429 nucleotides) under uncultured bacterium. RNAcentral's name for it is "bacterial SSU rRNA". It matches the Rfam family "Bacterial small subunit ribosomal RNA", at positions 355 to 776 of the family's 1533-position model. The record is from RNAcentral. RNAcentral also lists the same sequence under 1 other name.